UAUCUCUUUCCCUCUCAUUAAAAAUUUGUGAUUCGCAAAUUCGCAAAUUUGUGAACAAAAACUCGACCUCCGUCUACCGUCGCACGUACUAUUCGUGAGAACAAAAAACAUGGCCGUAUGAGUUACAAAUUUAUAUAAAUUAAUAUCGUUUCGCAUAACGCCUUAUUGAGUAUUGUGGUGGUGAACUUUAUUGUGUGUAAGUGAAAUAAGUGACACGCUGGAUUCUAGAAGGGGUACCUUUCACUGCUGCGGGAUCAACGGCCCUUCAGAUUACACCGUUAUGAACAGUACAUUGUUGCCAAAAAAUUGUUGCCCUGACGGGAACGAAAGAUGCAAAGUCGAGAAGGGCCAUAAGGGCUGCUGGACGAAGGUUAAAGAUUAUUUUACCCUGGUCUUAGGAGCUGCCAUUGGCUUCGUUAGUGUCCAGGUGGUCACAGCGAUAUUCGGACUAUGCCUUGUCAAUGGUAUAAAGAAUAAAAAUUCGUUUUAACGAAGAAAAUAAUUGAUCCCUCGACUGUCGGUUUUUUCACGCACAUAUAAAUUAAAAUCCACAAUGACUAGAGAGCGCCGAAAGUUGACAAUUAAUGUUGAUGAUGUUGAAUUACAAUUUUGUACUUUA
Long non-coding RNA from Pararge aegeria (speckled wood butterfly), 619 nucleotides. RefSeq lists it as uncharacterized. Lineage: Eukaryota; Metazoa; Arthropoda; Insecta; Lepidoptera; Nymphalidae. The transcript has 3 exons. The record is from RefSeq and is a predicted model, not a curated record.